This 37-nucleotide transfer RNA is filed under the name Buccinulum vittatum vittatum. Its description in RNAcentral is "partial tRNA-Glu". Lineage: Eukaryota; Metazoa; Mollusca; Gastropoda; Neogastropoda; Buccinidae. The record is from RNAcentral.
GAAUGAAAAUCUAACGUGCAAUUUACACCAUAGAAAC